CCUACGGGAGGCAGCAGUGAGGAAUAUUGGUCAAUGGGCGAGAGCCUGAACCAGCCAAGUCGCGUGAGGGAAGACGGUCCUAUGGAUUGUAAACCUCUUUUGCCGGGGAGCAAAAAGCGGUACGUGUACCGCAUCGAGAGUACCCGGAGAAUAAGCAUCGCCUAACUCCGUUCCAGCAGCCGCGGUAUAACGGAGUAGGCGAGCGUUACCCGGAUUUAUUGGGUUUAAAGGGUUGGCAGGCGGCGAGUUAAGUACGCGGGAAAAUUUCGGGGCUAAACCCCAAAAAGCCGUGGAAACCGGCUGGCUAGAGUGGGCGAGAAGUAUGCGGAAUGCGUGGUGUAGCGGUGAAAUGCAUAGAUAUCACGCAGAACUCCGAUUGCGAAGGCAGCAUACCGGCGCCCAACUGACGCUGAGGCACGAAAGCGUGGGUAUCGAACAGGAUUAGAUACCCGGGUAGUC
This 459-nucleotide ribosomal RNA is filed under the name uncultured bacterium. RNAcentral describes it as "partial 16S ribosomal RNA". It matches the Rfam family "Bacterial small subunit ribosomal RNA", at positions 338 to 795 of the family's 1533-position model. The record is from RNAcentral.